UUAAAGAAAGCAGCUAAUGCGACUGAGAACAAAAUGCAGCUCUGAACUCCGUGGUAGCUUGGUGGGCGGCUGCCAGCUCUUAUAAUAAUAUAGAUUAUUGCACCUCAAAGGCAGGUUUAAAUGCCUCCUGAGGACUGACUGGCUACAGGAGCUUGGUCAAAUCGCUUCAUCUCUCUCCGUUUCUGUUUCCUCAUCGGUCAAAGGAUUUUUUUUUUCUCACAGUGCUCUUGAGAGAAUGCUAUUGGCAUCAGCAGCAACAUCACUACCACAGCACACACUGUGUGUAUGCUGUAGCUCCGAAUGUCUCACUAGCUAUAGUUAAUCCCGAGGUGCGCGUUUCGGAUUUUAGCAUCUCUAACACCGAUGUAACGAAGACAACGGGGUCGCCGCAGAUUAUUUGGCAGCGCCUUUCUUUUUUAUUCGGUCCAAAAUAACAGUGCAUUGUGGGAUAGAUGAAAGAGGUUAUUAGCGUACUCCUGCCUCACAGGAGCUGUAUAAAGUGUGUGCCGGUUUUGUCCCACUUGACAGGUAAGAAGAUGGAGGCACAGCCAGUAUAAACGACUUAUCUAAGCUCUGGCAUCCAGCAAGCAGCGGAACUAUUCAACAAAACUUUCUCGGUUGGGAGGUCAGGGAAUGUAGUGCAAGGGUAAGCGCUGGCCUGAUGGUCAGGCUUCUCAGUGAGAAUCAUCUCCCGGUGCUGAGUAUGUCUAUGCAAAUGCACCCACGUCAUGGGGCCGAGAAGGAAAGAUGAUUCAUAUCUCCCAGCUUUCGCCCGAGAGCUUCACUCUGUGUAGGAAAUGCCCUUCCAGAGGUCAGAGAGGGACACACGAUUUCCUGGUUCCGUGACUCGUCUUCUGCUUGGGAUUUCAGAUGAAGGAUCUCGGCAGACGCUGGGUGCAAGCACGGGUUCUCUGCCUUGGCCAUUUUUCACAUGGAUGGCGGAGGAAGCCUGCCGAUGGGGGCUCCUAGGCAGGGCUGGAAAGUUAGCUUCAGGAUAGAGCUGAAGUGAGGGAUUGGCCUCCAAGCAGAAGGGAAAUGUACGAACCACCACUUGAAGUGAGGAAAUGCAGCUUCAAAAGGAACGAGAAGGAUCAGGUUGCAGAUCAGUGGCCAAGCGCUUCCGUAGCACAUACAAGGGCCCUGGGUUCGAAGGGUCCAAAGAACCCUUCAAAGAGCGGCGAGGAAAUAGUUUUCCCAUGCAAGCGGAAUGGAAGAGGGAGCCAACCUGGAGCCAUUCCUGAGUCUGAGACCUAAUCGUGCAGCUUAGGAGCAAAUUAUCCGGUGAGACUCAGUUUCCUCGUUAUGCUAAUGGGUAUCAUAACAUUCCAAUGGUUUACCUCACCUAGUUGUUAGAAGAUCAAUUAAGAUAACAGAUGUGAGAGCAUUUUUCCAAAUGAAGUAAUGCCGUGUAAGUGUGAGUUGUUAUCGUUGUUUUUCUUUCUAGGCAAGUACCAGCUUUGUGAGACUGGACAAGUUCUUACAGGGGAACUGAGAUGAUCACUAGUUACCAGACUUGCCCAGUUUUUUUUUUGGGGGGGGGCAGCCCACAGAGUUUGACUCAGAAUUCAAAGCUCCUCGUGUCUAAUGCCUCGCUUGUCCCUGGUUGACCCAGUGCAAAGGGUUGGGGAUGCCCCCAGAAGGUCUCUCUUCUCAGGUUCUCAGAUUCCGCCCUGCAGUGGGGGUCCUAGCCCCGGAAACAAGCUGACUGGGCAGAAGCGGCUCUUGCUUUGCCUUCUCUGGCAAUAAGACAAAUUUAGCAGCCAAUAAAUCCUGACUUCCUAAGCAGUACCCAGCCAAAUCACACCAAGUCAAAUGCAUUCUCGAAACGUUUCCCUGAUAGAUCAGCUCUAGGAGGUUAAACAGAGUAAAAUCUGCAUGACUUGCUAGGCAAAAAGAGAACAGGAUAGUAAUCCCACAUGCCUGCGACUGCAGAUUCUACACACGUGUAUCCGUGUUAGGGUUUGAGAUAAAAUCGAACUGCAUUUUUUAUUUUUUUAUUUUUUUAGACAGAGGUUGACCAUAGGUAAGGCCUACAGGAAGUAGGUGGUGUUGCUUACAGGAAGGAGUCAGAGGUGGAGGACUGCUCUUGUCAUCUAAGACCCUCUAGUCUGAAGGGCCUAGCAGCCUGCUGCCUGGGAACCAGAAGCUCCACUUUCAGUGCAGGCAAGCAAUGGCCAUAACAGGGACACACUAAGUGGCCCCCACCUUUUCUGGCCUUCCCUCUGAAAGAGAAGGAAGGAGGAAGUAGGAGGAGAAGGAGGAGGGAAAGGAAGGGGCCUGGGAAGCCUAAAGAAAAAAAAGUGCUUAAUAAGAGAGAGGAAGUUGGGGAUACAGUUUGCCCUGGUAACGAGGUUUAGAACAAAGUAGCCAUUUGCGCACUGAGAGUGCCCCAGGAGGGACCUUUCCCUAGACGGAACGAACACAUCACCCGCUCCUCUAGCCUUUCUGGAAGAUGCCCGGCCUUCCGAGCAGGGCCUGCCUUCUCUGGCAGCAGACAAAAGGCCAUUUCUGAGUUACACAGAAAAUGUGUUACUUUGCCAGAGGGUCGGGUAAGCGCUGCCCUGGUCCAUCCUGGCCCAGCAGAGCUGUUUGCAGAGGGGGCCUGUCAGUCACUAGGAGCCCUGCGUGAAAGGGGCCCCUUGUCAACUUCCCCUGCCUUUGAAGUGACUGGGAUGGAGGUGCUCAAUUAAAAGCCCAUCAGUCUGUAAGUAAAUCAACGCCUAUCAGGCUUGUCACAUCAAACAAACGAUUAUUACCCCAGCCCGCCCACCCCAUUAAUCUGGCUGUUCCUUCUUGACGGCUCAGGGUCAGGGCGGUGUAAAUCCUGUACUGGAUUCCAGCCACCUGGAUCGGGAUGAAAGCCCUGGUAUAACACACCACACUCUCAGGCAUUUCCCAGGGCCCCUGGAGGGAGGGCCUCUGUCCCAGAGGGGUGGUGACAGAGGAGUCCUCCAAAGACAGGACCUUGGGAAAAGACAUAAAACGGGAUGGAGAUGGAGAGACAUAAAGGAGGGAUACUGCAAUAGAAACACCAGAAGAGUGUUGAGAUCGAAAACACUGGGAACGUUAGGGUCACCUACAGACACACUCCCAAAGGACAAGGUCUCUGGAUGAAAUUCUUAGACCUUGCAUUCUGAGGCCCAAGUCAGAGAGUGGAUUCAAUCCCAAGGUGGUUUUCUUUACUUCUCCCCAUGUGUCACAUGGUCAAGGGAAAGAAGGACGGUAGAGAGGAUACAAGAAAGCAUUCAGAUUGCUAUGCCGUUCCCUGUGCCGGGCAUCAGAACUGGCAUGGGAAGAACUGAAGGUGGUAUAAACAGGAUACAUUAGACCAGUGGUCCCCAGUCUUCCUAAGGCUGUGACCCUUUGACACAGUUCCUCACAUUGUGGUGACUCCAAUCAUAAAAUUAUUUUUGUUGCUACUUCAUAACUGUAACUUUGCUACUGUGGUGAACCGUAAAAUACAUAUCUGGUAUACAGGAUAUCUGUGUGACUCCAUGAAAAGGUCGUCACGACCCACAGGUUGAGAACUACUGCAUUAGACCCCAGCCCCAAGUUCAGAUGGUCUACCCAAGUCCCUAAGAACAACUUUGUUCUGGCGACGUUCCCCUAGGUUCUGUGUGCUGGUUUGAGGAUUCCUUUCUGCGUGCUGGGAUCAAGCUCUUGGCUUUUCCCACUGUAGAAUAAAGGGAACUGUGAGCAGGGAGGAAGGGACACAGUAUAGUUUGAAAGAAGGGUGGGAGUUGUGUGAGAAAAGAAGUCAACCACAUCUCUUGAAAAGUCAAGGCAGACUUAUUGGGGAAGGAAACUACCGGUCCCUUCCCAAAAGGUUUCCCCACUGACUCGCGGUGGUCCACAUUUUAAAAUGGCAGUCACUUACUUGUCCACUUGGAGAGGAGUAACUCCUUAAAGAAAGUGCGACCAGAACUGAAACAGAGGACCCAGGAGAGGAAGCUAUUUUGGCUCUCUUGAGCAAGGAGUUCUGCUUACCCAGCCUCGCUUGCAGAUUAUGUUCACUUCCUACUACACAAAGGGUGGAGAUUUUCGAAGUAACUGGAGACAUUUUUGUCCCUGUCUUCCUCUAGGGUGGUAAGAACUGCUCACGGGAAAUUCUGCAGACAGGCUGCAUUAGUCAGCUUGCUGGUGCUAGGACAAAACAGCCCAGGCAAUCAACUCGUAAGGAGACGAGACUUAUUUGGUUCAUAGUUUCAGCAGUCUCUGCUCAUAGUCAUUUGGCCCUGUUGUUUACAGGGGUUGGGACAAGGUAAAUCAUGAACCUUGGUGGCUGUGAAGCAAAUAAAAGGAGGGUGGGGCAGUCCUUAAUACAUCCUUCAGGAGUGUGCCCUCGGUGACUUAAUUUCCUUCUCUAGGCCCCAUCUCUUAAAGAUUCUGCCACCUCCGAAGAGUGCCAGGGGCUGGUGGCCAACCCCCUGUACGUGGGCCUUUGUAAAGGAUUUAAAAUCCAAGUCACAGCAUGGACUACUACCCCAACUGUGUGUGUGGGCUUUCUCUCAAGCGUUCUCUAAGGAGCUGGCUGCCCAUCAUGCCAGUGUGAACUAAUUUGUCCUGUCGUCGAGAUCCAGCAGUGCACGGUGCCUUUGUUAUCUACGUUGAUAGACGUGUUGAGGCUUACCCCAGAGGUGAGAAGGAAUCAUGUCCACUGCGUAUCUGUCCCGCACUGCCUCUCGUGUGGUGUCUAAGCAGAAUUUUAUAUUUAUAACUUACAGGCUCUUUUCUAAAUCAUUGGACUAUAGCAGUGAAUAGGACAGGCAAGGCCCAGGGAUGUAUGGGGAUCCUUUACAAAGGACCCAUGUGUCUGAUUCUUCUUCGUCACAUGUAUGCUCAUUAGGUAGAUAUUUGCAGAACCUCUCAGUGCCAUUUGCACAAGGAGUCAAAGAAGAGUUGGAAGGAAAUUCUGUCCUGGAAGAAAGUCGCAGCUAAUGAAAUCUAAGUCGGUGCAUGAAGUGGUAGGCACCAUAAGCUGGGAAAAGAUGAGAGAGAGAGAGAGACAGAGACAGACACACACACACACACACACACACACACACACACACACACACACACACACACACACACACAGAGAGAGAGAGAGAGAGAGAGAGAGAGAGAGAGAGAGAGAGAGAGAGGGAGAGAGAGAGAGAGAGUGUUCAGGGAGGAGAUGAGGAGAUAAUUUAUUCUUGCUCUUCUUAGAGAAGGUCUAGAAUGAAGCACUGUAUUUGCUGUUGGGUCAUGUCAGGUUUUUUAAUAUGCUUUAUAAUAUAGUGCUGUGUGGGCUUAAUGUCUGCUGUCACUGGCUUCAAUGACAUUCUAAUUCAUUGUGCUUGUAAUUACAGCCAAAUCACAAUACCCUCCUCCAUCAAGCAGGUGGACGUAACACAGGGAACUCGAUUCCACGCUUCCCCAGAGGUCCAGGUUACGGCUGGGAACUCCCAAGACGCAGGAGUUGUGUUCCUUAGAGUUGGGCAGAGGCUCUGAAUCCAGGCUGCAGCUCAAAGCCAGGCUCUUCAAAUGCUGGCCUUGUUGCUUGCCUGCUGCGAGGCCAUGGGCAAAUCACUUGAACUCCCUGUGUGUGUUUCCCCAUCUGUUAAAUUGGGGUGAUAAGAGCCUUGGCCUCAUAGGGUUAUAUGACAAUUAAAUGCAUGUAAAUCAUUCACAACAGUGCUACAGAGAGUGUGCAUUCAACAAUGCCCGUCAGGAUUCCUGCUCAAAGUGGUCUCUUGGAGGGGAAAUGCUGGGAAGGCACUAAAUCAAUCAACGCACGGUGCCUUCUUGCAUUUUAACAUCGCUGAGUCACUUACAUUAAUUAUAUUUAAAGCUUGUUUACUUAUUGUUAUUUGUAUGGCUGUUUUGCCUGACUAUAUGUCUGUGUAUCAUGUGUAUGCCUGGUGCCCAUGGUAGCCAGAAGAGGGCAUCAAGAUAUUCUAGACCUGGAGUUACAGAUGGUUAUGAGCCACCAUGAAGGAGGUGAGAAUGAAUUCCAGGCCCCACUUGAAGAGCAGCCAGCACAGCUCAAUUACUGAGCUAUCUUUCCAGCCCCUAAUUUUGAUUUUAAGUCUCUCAGUGCUUGUAAACAUUUAAAUGGUUUUUUUAAACUAAAAUUGCGUGUUUAUUAACAGUUAAUUAAUUACUGUCCAUGUGAGUUUAACUGUAUGUGCUUGUUCACAUCCUGGUCUCUCCUCUAGAAAGAGCCAUUAUCUUGUAUUUGUAUUAUUAUUAUUAUUAUUUUUUUGCCCUUUUGGAAAACGUAUUUUUAAAUUUAUUUUAAUGUUUUGGUUUUUUUGAAACAGGGUUUCCCUGGUUGUCCUGGAACUAGCUUUGUAGACCAGUCUGGCCUCAAACUCACAGAGACCUGCCUGUCUCUUCCUCCCAAGUGUUGGGAUUAAAGCACUCACCCACAGUGACAAACUUCCUCCAACAAGGCCCCACCUCCUAAUAGUGCCUCUUCCCAUGGGGCGAGCAUAUUCAAACCACCACACUCGGCCUAUACAGAUUUAGAAUUGCUCUAUUUUUCCAUUGAGUUGACCACUCAGUCACCAAGGGACACUUCCUGUGCUGGUUUAUCCUGUCUGCUACAUGCCCAGCUCCUGAUUUCUCCUGACUUUUGUUUGGGACGCCUUUCCCUCUCCUUUCAAGUUCUAGCCUUUUCCAGUUGUCUGGAAAACACAGCAUACCAACAGGAAUUUUGUUAUACUUUAAGGUUUUAUGGAGCAGUGCAUUGGACACAACACAACAGAGGCCUCUUCUUGCUGUUUUACGUCAUCUGAAGCCUUGGUUGGAAAGACUCCAAAGAUUUGGGGCUAGAACGACUGUCUGGAGAUGUUGUUAUUCAUAUCUGGUACCUGGAGUUGGAUAACGUGACAUGAGGCCCAGAUAAUGAUAUUGACUGACGUGUCUACCUGUGGUUGCUACAUACUUGGGCUUCCUUAUGACGUGUCUCAGACUUCCUAAACAGUCGCUCAGACUGCUAAGAGUGACUGACUGUCUCAUCAGACAAAGCAUACACAGCAGCUUCCUUUAAUCUCGCCUCCGACGCCAGCGUUGCUUUUGUAAUACUUUGUGGCUUGAAGGAACCACAAACGGGCCCAGACUGGUGAAGGUAGGCAGAUGCAACUUGUACUGAGAAAAGUGCCAAAGGGUUUGUGGCUUUGUUUUAUAGAUUGACCCACGACUUUUCUUAAUCUUAAGGUGUUGCUUAUACACUCCAAAUAGAUUUUUUUUGGGGGGGGGGAUGGGAUGAUCAUUUGAUGGGGGAGGGUGCAUCAAUCCUUCUUGGCCGCCGCCUUCUGCACGGCUGCCAGAAAGUUGCUCAGGUGUUCGCACUUUCUCUUGGUGCGCAUGUGCGUGCCCACCUUCUCCUUGAUGAACUUGAGGGCGAGCUUUUCCUUGGACACUUUGAGCAACUCCAUGGUGCGCUGCUCAUAGGAUGUGAAGCUGUACACCUUUCGGAUCGUGUCCUGGGACUUGGUGUGCUUGGUGAGGCUCCUUGUGGCCCUUGUUGAGGCCCAUGGCCAUGGAGUAGCACGGGGCCAUGGCUGCUGCUCUCUGAUGGUGGCCAGGACAGGAAGCAUAGUUAGAUUUCAAAAUAAUUUUUAUCCAGCCUUACAAUUUAUUUUUAAAGGCUUAAUUGUAUUUUAAUUUUAAUUAACUAAUGAAUGAAUGAAUGAAUUGUAUGUGUGUGUGUGUGUGUGUGUGUGUAUGUGUGUGUGUGUGUAUGAGAAUGCAUGCUACUGCGUGUGCAUGGACAUCAGAGGACAACAUCUGAGAAUCAGUUAACUCUUUACCACCAUGUGGAUCCUGGGGACUGAACUUAGGUUGUGGAUCUUGGUGCCGGAACCUUUAACCCCUGAGCCUUUUCACUGGGUUCAGUCUUCGUUUUUUAACUAAAAUCUUUGGUUCGUUUACAUUUAAAGUAACCAUGGAGAUUGUACUUUAAAUCUAUCACUGUGUACCUUUUAUUUAUUCCAAAUGAUUUUUGUUCACUUUGCCCUUAUUUUUCCUUCCUUGGAACUGUAAUGCAAAUCGCUCCUUUUCCUACUCAAUUGUUUGGUUUUUUUUUUGUUUUUGUUUUUUUUUUUGUACGCUUUUUCAACUCUUCUCGGUUGAUUACUCAGUAAUCUCUGUCAUCUGUGCAUAGAGAACAGAUUUAUCUGUAUUCUUUUAGUUUAAGAGUUGCUGAAGUGAGCAGAAUAACCACUCCAGAGAUUGCUGUCUGUCAUUAUUUCAUUAUAAGCUACCUUAAAUAAUACUUAUAUCACAUCCUGAGGAAUCUGAGAACUUCGGAACAUGUGCGCUCCAUUUACCCGUCCCUUCUCUUCUGUCUGUCUGUCUGUCUAUCUAUCUAUCACCUAUCUACUAUCUAUCUAUCUAUCUAUCUAUCUAUCUAUCUAUCUAUCAUCUAUCUAUUAUCUAUCAUCUAUCUAUCUAUCUAUCUAUCUAUCUAUCUAUCUAUCUAUCUAUCUAUCUAUCUAUCAUCUAUCAAUUAUCUAUCAUCUAUCUAUCUAUCUAUCUAUCUAUCUAUCUAUCUAUCUAUCAUCUAUCUAUCAUCUAUCACCCCGUGUAGUUUGAUCAUCAUCAACACUAGUUUAGAUCUGCACAGAUAUUUUACCUUCUGAUACUGCUGAGUCCUUCGUUCACGUCUGUGUUUUCAUUUGGGAUGCUUUGGGGUCACCUGCCUCCCCGAAUGCUCCAGGCAUUUCUUUAAUGUGCACGCGCUAAAUUCUGGUUCUGUUUCCUGAAAAUGUCUUUGCCGUGCCUUCGGUUUUGAGGGACAUUUCCAGUGAGCAUGGAGUUUUAGGUCAGCAGUUAUUUUCUUAGGCUGCUGUAAUAGCUCUUUCUCUGCAGCUCUCCUCCGGUCCCAUGUUUUUCCUCUGUUGCUUACUUCCAGUUUUAACCAUUACCCUUUCUUUUUCUUGUAGCUGCUUUCAUGAGUUUCCUCUUGGUUUUCUUACUUUUAGUAAUUUCCCCGCAAUAUAUAGCACUGUGGUAUCUUUAUAUUUUAUCUCUCGUGGGCUUAUAAUUUUUAAAAAUUCUGUAGCAUUACUUUAUUCCAUUUUUCAUAUUUUUUGGAGGAUUCCUAGCCAGGAUUUCUUAACAAGUUGCUUCACUCACAUCCUCUCUCUCUCCUCCAUCUGAGAUCCAAUAACGAAAACGUUAAAUGAUUUUACUGUGUCUCCGCAUCUUCGAUGGAAAACCUUUUCUUUUUAUUCUAAACCUUGGAUGUCUAUUUUACUUUGAAUUGCUCUAUCCCAUCCUUAAUCUCAGCAAAUGCUCUAGGAUUUCCAUUUCACAUCUUUUAAAAAAGCAGACCACAUUUCUGUUGUAAAACUAUCCCUUUUUAUUUUCUUGAACACACCAAUGAUAGUUUAAAGUCUGUCCGAUAAUUGGGAGGAGCUCACUGUUCCUUCUUCUCCUCUGUUUCUCUCCCCUCUCAGAUUUAAUGUCUGGUAAUUUUCUGUUGAACUCAGGCACUGCUCUAAAACUCUCAGCUUCUAGAUGAUGUACCUUUCUUCCUUCCUAUUAGAGGCUGGGAUGUGCACAGUGGAGCCUCGCUUAGGGUGCAUAAGGCCCUGGGCUCAGCCCCUGACCCCGUAAAUGACGGCACAAAAGAUCAUUAAUUUUCUCGUGUCAGGGAGUGAGAGUAUGGUCAAGUCAUCCUGAUGCCAGCAAGGGUUCCUAGGAGCUCUGUUAGGGUGCCACACAUCUCACUGUUCCUUUCUUAGUAAUCUCAGGCAUAAUUCUGAAUAUAGAAUGUAAUUAACUGAUUUCCAGACAAGCAAUCUUUCUGGGAAUUCCAAAGUUUUACCAAAUCACCUCCCCACUGACGGCCUUGAACUCUAACCCCUGACUUCCCAGCUUUGCCUUCAGUCUGCUAGCAUGAUGCAUGCUGGAGCACCACGCCAUGACAAGGGACCUAGAGGCAAGGCCAGAGAGAGAAACAGGGCUCGCUUCAAAUUCCUUCUCUUUUUGCUCUUGGCUCUACCAGUUCUGCCAAACUCAGUUGCUUGCAGGUUAUAUGCUGUUGCAUUAUACGUUUGAUUUAACUGUUUUAGUUGUUAUUAGUGGAAGGAUUUGUCUAAUAUUCUUUUGAUUAAGUAAAAGUUUUUGUUAGCCAGGUGUGGUAGCACUUAGGAGGCAAAGGCUGGCUGAUCUCUGUGUGUCUGAGGCCAGCUGGUCUAUGUACGAGGUGAGUUUCAAGACAGCUAGUGCUGCACAGUGAGACCAAAACGAACAAAUGAAUGUUUUGUUUAUCAUCUGAAUGUAUUUAUACAAACGCUUUUCUUGCUUUGAGAUUUAUAAAAAUGGUGUCAUUCUGCUGUGUUAAUCUUUUAAUGUCUGGGUGACAACGGACCAAAGGAAGAGGCUUAAGACAAUAAAUACCUCACUAUGUCCUGUGGAUCAUAAGUCUGGAAUUAUAAUGUUGCAGUUCUGGCUUAGGAUCCUUCAUGAGGUGAAGUCAAACUAUCAGGAGGCCAUAUGAAGGUUGAACUAGAGUGGAGGCUUUCCCUUUAUGCUCCCACAAGUUGCUGGGAAGUUCUCAUGGCUUACUGUCAGGAAGCCUGAGUUCUUCCCAUGUGUGUCUCUCCCAAGGUUACUCUGAGAAGUCAUCUUCUGCUUUUUACUACGUUCAUGCAGAAGCAAGAUAUCGACAUCAGGAUGAGGUGUUACAGAAUUUGUGAGUGUUUUUUUUUUUAGAACGACCACAUGUAGGUGGAUUUCUGUUUUCACUGAACAUUAAGUUCCAGGCUUCAUUUGUAUUGUUGCGAAUAACUGUGAUUCAUGUAUGUUUACCGCUUUAGUAUUGCACAGGGAGGAUGGACCGAAACUGUGUUUCCUCCACUGUCUUCACGAUGCAUGUGGCUUGUUAGAAUCUUUUGCACUUUGAUGAAUAUAUCCUGGUAUAUAGCACAGGCUGGUCUUAAACCUCCUAUCUUGGCUCAAUUUCUCUUGAACUUUGACUGCUACAUUUGAUCCAGAAAACAUUUUUAAAAAGCCACUCAUAUGACGUCUUUAAGAAAAUACAAUGUAUGUCGUAUUCACCCCAACUCCUGCUCUUAAUUCUUCCCAAAGCCACGGCUUCUGUUUACUUUCCCAAUGCCAUUUCUUCAUUUUCUCUUUAAAUGUAAUAAUCCAUUGACUUUGAUUUGUGCUGUCUGUAUAAUUCUGGUGUGGGUCCACCUACUGGAGUAUGACUGAUCUACCAGCUGCCAUGUCCAUUUUUGUUCUUUUAUUACUUUUUCAUUGAAAAAAUUUGAUAUAAUGCAUGUCAAUUACGCUUUUUACCCUCCUUCAACUCCACCCAGAUCCUCCCCACAUCCCUACCCAGCCUUAUGCUCUUUUUCUCUCUUUCAACAAACAACAAACAAAACAGAAGAAACAAAAACAAAGAAAAAAAAAACUUCAAGAACCACGAAUCCCCCAUACAAUUUCAGUAAGCAAAAGACCAAUAAGAUGAAAAAUGUCGAAAUAAAGCAAAGUGAGACCAAAGUCCACAAAAAUUCCAUUGAGUUCAUUUUGUGUUGGUCAUUUUGCGUGAGGCCUGCCCUGGAAUAUGUUAGAUAAACCCAGCGACACUCCAUAGGAGAAAACUAGGGUUUCCUUUGCUAGCAGGUACCAAUGGCACGGCUAGCUUCUUGGUUAGGCGUUGGAGACAGGGUUUACUUCCCUUCUCACUACCAGGACUCAGUCUGGCUUGAACCUGUAGAGGUUUUGUGAGUGCUCUGAGUCUCCGUGAGUCCGUCCAUAUGUUUAUCAAUAGGAUGAUCGUAUCCUCAGAAUCACCCAUCACUUCUGGUUCUUACACUCUUUCUGCCUCCUUUCCCACGGAGAUCUCUGAAGGCAGAGGUUUGACUAACAUCCCAUUGAGGACAGAGAACGGCAAAGUCUCUCACCUUCUGUACCUUGCCCAGUUUUGGCUUUCUGUGUUAAUGCCUGUGUUUCUGCAGAAGAAGCUUCUCUGAUGUGCGUUGGGAGAGGCACUGAUCUGUGGGUAUAGCAAUGUGUCAUUAGGAAUCAUUUUACUGUGAUGUUCCUUUGGUAGAACAAUAUCAGGCUUUCCUGCAGGCCCAUGACCCAUCUGACCUCAGGUCACUGACGUAGGCUUCAAGGUUUGUAGAUUGGUGAUAUUGACGAUUAACUUUCUCCUCUGGUGAUGUGCACAGUACCUGCCAGCAUCAUGAAUGCCAGUCAGUAGGCGUGAAGGCUCUGGUGAGGCACCAACUCAACUCAACGUCUCUGUGUUUGAUGACAUAUGAGAGGAAAAGCAACUUUCUACCACUCUCCCUGCAGUCCAGAGUCUUAACGAGCCUGCUCGGAUCACCAACUUGCUUGCAUCAAGAUCAUCUGGGGUCCUUGGGAACAGGACUGCUUCUUCUACUCUUCCAAACCAAACUUUCUGGGGAAAGGGCCCAGAAUUGUAACCUUUUAAGCAAGUUUCUCAGAUUCUUCCUAAGUGUACUGUGGUUUGAGGAUCACUGCCCAAAUCUCUUUUCUCCUUUGGUAUUUCAUUUUAAAUAUUCAUGGGAGAGGCAUUCCAGGGAGCCCAGAAAGAGAAGGAGCUGACUAUGUUACUCAGCCUCCUGUCACUAUAACAAAUAGCCAAGACAAUCUCUUAUAGAGAGAAAAGAUUUAUUUUGGCCCAGGGUGCUGGAGUUUCAGUCCGUGGUUGAUUGAUGCUGUUGCUUUAGGGCUAAGUCGAGCUACAUGAGUACACAUCAUGACUGAAGUGCUUGGUAGGACAAAAACCACUUAUAUAAUAGCCAUGGAACAGCAGAAGAAAGGGGGUGGGGGGCCCCACAAUUCCCUCUGAGGGUAUAGCCCCAGUGACCUUAACGCCUCAUACUAGGUCUUAAGGUCUUAAAGGGUUUCCCUUGCUGUCAGUGGAAGGAUCUGGGGACCAAGCCUUUACCACACUAGCCUUUGGGGACACUUCUCCAAGCCACAGCAGUGACUCACAGCUACUCUUCAUGUCACUGAAGUUCUUUGGGAGCCCCAGAACCCUGUGUGGCCAUAGUCAGUGCCACACACAUCUUGCUGAGUUGUAUGAUCCCCCCACCCCCUCCUCCUACACUUUCUGGAGCUACAACCGCAACCUAAAAUAGUUUCCAUCAGAGAGGAUCUUUUUUUUAAAAAAAUAAGGAUUUUCUCAGUGAUUUUUUUUUAAAAUCUUGUUGAUCUAGGCAUAAAAUUCAGUAGAGGUUGAUGAAGUUUAGAUAUCAUUACAGGUUGACCAAUGUCCAGGUAUGCCUGGGUCUGGAGGACUGCAAGAACUUCAGUGCCAGCAUCAGGAUGUUCCGAGAAAAGCGGGAUGUGUGGCAAGGACCCCGAACAGCUCGUGGUGGUGAAGAUGGAGAUGGCUCUCACCCUUUAAUGACGGUGUGGUAGGGGCCAUGCUACUCCUGUCAGAGUACACCGUGUUUGACAAUAGGGGAAGGAACACAUCGGGGGUAAGGCAUGCUUUUCAGAUCCCGAGAGCUGGAUACAUUGUCAAAGGUACUGUUCAUUUGUAUUAUUAGCAGACAGUCCUUGACCAAAAUGACGGGGUUCCAGGGUGUCACUUCCACCCUGCACAUCAUGUUCUUUUCUUGUAAGGACCUCCAAUGCCUUCCACUCUCCCAUCAUCCACUGCUGUGUUCCUCUUCCCAAAGAGUCUCUGGCUUAUUUCACUUAGCAGCACGAUGAUCUUUACCUCCCUCCAUUUCCCUGCUAAUGACUUAAUUUAACUUCUUUAUGGCUGAGUCAAACUCCGCCAUGUAUUUUUUUUUUUUUGCUUAUUCUACGUAUUUUAAUUUUUAAAGCCUUUUAUCUUUUAAGGAUGUACACAUGGGCAAGAUCUACUAAGUUAAUGAACGCCGAGGCUGACCGAAGGACUUGGAAUUUGUGAUCAGUGCUGCAACAAAACCCGGAUGUGUAGAUAUCUCUGUGGUGCGUUGGCUUCAGCUAUAUUCCCUGGAGCAGUGGUACAGUUGGAUCACACAGUAGGGCUGCUGGUUAAUCCUGGUUGUCAACUCGAUACACCUGGAAAGAGAGAGCCUCAACUGAAGAAUUGCCUUAAUCAGAUUGACCUGUGGGCGUGACUGGGCAAUUUGUAGGCAGGUGGGCCUUGGAUGUUUAAGUAGUUGAAUCCAGGAGCCAGCCAGUGAGCGGUGCUCCUCCGUGGUUCUGCCUCUGCUUCUGCAUGAGCGCCUGCCCUGUCUUUCCUCCGUGAUGGACUGUGGAAGGAAUUCAGAGAAACAUCACAGUUACAAGGAAGAAAUGCAGAGAUUAUCCAGUGCUCAGAUGGUCAUCAGAUCUGCAGUGUGCAUGUUCCUGGUCAUAUCUAUCUACUGCCCACCAACCCCUCAAAACCAAGCAGACGGUAACAGAGAACAUCCUGGUGGACUCACACGUCUGUGUCCAGCACUCAGGAGACUGAGGCAAGAGGGUUACCAGUUCAAGGCUAGUUUGGGCUACAUGGAAAGAUCUUGUCUAACAAAAACGAUCAUGACCAUCAAAGGCUAUGGGUGUGAUUGUCAGGAUUAAAGUGAAAAGUAGUUCUACUACUUUAGAUUUAGGCUGGUUUCAAGUUAAAAUUAAAAAAAAAUAUUUAGUGGAAAAAUCUUUGCAUGAAAUCCUGUAUUCAUCGCCCAUGUUUCCCUUUUGGGGAAGCCAUCUUUUCUAUUGAUUUUAAAAAGCCCCUUUAUACAUUUAGCAAUUACCUUUUGACUUAUUUAUUAAAAACACAUUACCAGGCUUUGCCUCUUCUAGAUUUUGAAAGCUAGAAAAAGGUUUUGUGGACGUUUAGUCUAAGGCUUUUAUCUCAAAAAGCCAAGGGGGCCAAGGUAAAAAUAGUUAAGUGUCUCCAAUGCACAAUGUUGGCAGUAGAGUCUGGCCUGGGUUCUUGGCAUUUGGAAGUCACACUGUUUCUGCUGGCCACACACUGCUCAUGUCAGCCCCUCGCUCUGCCCUCCCAUGGUAUCUGUUGGUAGCUUUGCCAUCCUAUGUGGAAGAUAGGGCUCGCCUCUCGCCUUCUGUCUCCUGCAACCACACUCAAUUCCUAGGCCAACAAUACUAGGAACUUGGUAGUUCCAAAAAUACUGGCUUUUAGGGAGGGAAUAGGAAGGCAAAGUUUAGAACAGAGGCAGAAGGAACACCCAUCCAGAGCCUGCCCCACAUGUGGCCCAUACAUAUACAGCCACCAAACUAGAUAAGAUGGAUGAAGCAAAGAAGUGCAGGCCGACAGGAACCGGAUGUAGAUCUCUCCUGAGAGACACAGCCAGAAUAUGGCAAAUACAUAGGCGAAUGCUAGCAGCAAACCACUGAACUAAGAACGGGACCCCCGUUGAAGGAAUCAGAGAAAGGACUGAAGGAGCUGAAGGGGCUCGAGACCCCAUAUGAACAACAAUGCCAACCAACCAGAGCUUCCCGGGACUAAGCCACUACCCAAAGACUAUACAUGGACUGACCCUGGACUCUGACCUCAUAGGUAGCAAUGAACAGCCUAGUAAGAGCACCAGUGGCAGGGGAAGCCCUUGGUCUUGCCAAGACUGAACCCCAGUGAACGUGAUUGUUGGGGGGA
This is a non-coding RNA of Rattus norvegicus (Norway rat), 15550 nucleotides long. The record is from RefSeq and is a predicted model, not a curated record. NCBI's taxonomy places the organism in Eukaryota, Metazoa, Chordata, Mammalia, Rodentia, Muridae.